Molecule: ribosomal RNA, 433 nt
Filed under: uncultured bacterium
Lineage: Bacteria
Description: partial 16S ribosomal RNA
Rfam family: Bacterial small subunit ribosomal RNA
Source: RNAcentral
AACGAACGCUGGCGGCAUGCCUAACACAUGCAAGUCGAACGAGACCUUCGGGUCUAGUGGCGCACGGGUGCGUAACGCGUGGGAACCUGCCUUUAGGUUCGGAAUAACUCAGAGAAAUUUGAGCUAAUACCGGAUGAUGUCUUCGGACCAAAGAUUUAUCGCCUUUAGAUGGGCCCGCGUUGGAUUAGCUAGUUGGUGGGGUAAAGGCCUACCAAGGCGACGAUCCAUAGCUGGUCUGAGAGGAUGAUCAGCCACACUGGGACUGAGACACGGCCCAGACUCCUACGGGAGGCAGCAGUGGGGAAUAUUGGACAAUGGGCGAAAGCCUGAUCCAGCACUGCCGCGUGAGUGAUGAAGGCCUUAGGGUUGUAAAGCUCUUUUACCCGAGAUGAUAAUGACAGUAUCGGGAGAAUAAGCCCCGGCUAACUCCGUG